GGCCGUGUAGCUCAGUUGGUAGAGCGCACGACUCAUAAUCGUGUGGUCACCGGUUCAAGUCCGGUCACGGCUA
This 73-nucleotide transfer RNA is filed under the name Antricoccus suffuscus. It matches the Rfam family "tRNA". Rfam says of the family: Transfer RNA (tRNA) molecules are approximately 80 nucleotides in length. Their secondary structure includes four short double-helical elements and three loops (D, anti-codon, and T loops). Further hydrogen bonds mediate the characteristic L-shaped molecular structure. tRNAs have two regions of fundamental functional importance: the anti-codon, which is responsible for specific mRNA codon recognition, and the 3' end, to which the tRNAs corresponding amino acid is attached (by aminoacyl-tRNA synthetases). tRNAs cope with the degeneracy of the genetic code in two manners: having more than one tRNA (with a specific anti-codon) for a particular amino acid; and 'wobble' base-pairing, i.e. permitting non-standard base-pairing at the 3rd anti-codon position. The record is from Rfam by way of RNAcentral. Lineage: Bacteria; Bacillati; Actinomycetota; Actinomycetes; Geodermatophilales; Antricoccaceae. RNAcentral also lists the same sequence under 1 other name.